Molecule: ribosomal RNA, 1937 nt
Filed under: Escherichia coli KTE135
Lineage: Bacteria; Pseudomonadati; Pseudomonadota; Gammaproteobacteria; Enterobacterales; Enterobacteriaceae
Description: bacterial LSU rRNA
Rfam family: Bacterial large subunit ribosomal RNA
Source: RNAcentral
CGUGAAGAGGGAAACAACCCAGACCGCCAGCUAAGGUCCCAAAGUCAUGGUUAAGUGGGAAACGAUGUGGGAAGGCCCAGACAGCCAGGAUGUUGGCUUAGAAGCAGCCAUCAUUUAAAGAAAGCGUAAUAGCUCACUGGUCGAGUCGGCCUGCGCGGAAGAUGUAACGGGGCUAAACCAUGCACCGAAGCUGCGGCAGCGACGCUUAUGCGUUGUUGGGUAGGGGAGCGUUCUGUAAGCCUGCGAAGGUGUGCUGUGAGGCAUGCUGGAGGUAUCAGAAGUGCGAAUGCUGACAUAAGUAACGAUAAAGCGGGUGAAAAGCCCGCUCGCCGGAAGACCAAGGGUUCCUGUCCAACGUUAAUCGGGGCAGGGUGAGUCGACCCCUAAGGCGAGGCCGAAAGGCGUAGUCGAUGGGAAACAGGUUAAUAUUCCUGUACUUGGUGUUACUGCGAAGGGGGGACGGAGAAGGCUAUGUUGGCCGGGCGACGGUUGUCCCGGUUUAAGCGUGUAGGCUGGUUUUCCAGGCAAAUCCGGAAAAUCAAGGCUGAGGCGUGAUGACGAGGCACUACGGUGCUGAAGCAACAAAUGCCCUGCUUCCAGGAAAAGCCUCUAAGCAUCAGGUAACAUCAAAUCGUACCCCAAACCGACACAGGUGGUCAGGUAGAGAAUACCAAGGCGCUUGAGAGAACUCGGGUGAAGGAACUAGGCAAAAUGGUGCCGUAACUUCGGGAGAAGGCACGCUGAUAUGUAGGUGAAGUCCCUCGCGGAUGGAGCUGAAAUCAGUCGAAGAUACCAGCUGGCUGCAACUGUUUAUUAAAAACACAGCACUGUGCAAACACGAAAGUGGACGUAUACGGUGUGACGCCUGCCCGGUGCCGGAAGGUUAAUUGAUGGGGUUAGCGCAAGCGAAGCUCUUGAUCGAAGCCCCGGUAAACGGCGGCCGUAACUAUAACGGUCCUAAGGUAGCGAAAUUCCUUGUCGGGUAAGUUCCGACCUGCACGAAUGGCGUAAUGAUGGCCAGGCUGUCUCCACCCGAGACUCAGUGAAAUUGAACUCGCUGUGAAGAUGCAGUGUACCCGCGGCAAGACGGAAAGACCCCGUGAACCUUUACUAUAGCUUGACACUGAACAUUGAGCCUUGAUGUGUAGGAUAGGUGGGAGGCUUUGAAGUGUGGACGCCAGUCUGCAUGGAGCCGACCUUGAAAUACCACCCUUUAAUGUUUGAUGUUCUAACGUUGACCCGUAAUCCGGGUUGCGGACAGUGUCUGGUGGGUAGUUUGACUGGGGCGGUCUCCUCCUAAAGAGUAACGGAGGAGCACGAAGGUUGGCUAAUCCUGGUCGGACAUCAGGAGGUUAGUGCAAUGGCAUAAGCCAGCUUGACUGCGAGCGUGACGGCGCGAGCAGGUGCGAAAGCAGGUCAUAGUGAUCCGGUGGUUCUGAAUGGAAGGGCCAUCGCUCAACGGAUAAAAGGUACUCCGGGGAUAACAGGCUGAUACCGCCCAAGAGUUCAUAUCGACGGCGGUGUUUGGCACCUCGAUGUCGGCUCAUCACAUCCUGGGGCUGAAGUAGGUCCCAAGGGUAUGGCUGUUCGCCAUUUAAAGUGGUACGCGAGCUGGGUUUAGAACGUCGUGAGACAGUUCGGUCCCUAUCUGCCGUGGGCGCUGGAGAACUGAGGGGGGCUGCUCCUAGUACGAGAGGACCGGAGUGGACGCAUCACUGGUGUUCGGGUUGUCAUGCCAAUGGCACUGCCCGGUAGCUAAAUGCGGAAGAGAUAAGUGCUGAAAGCAUCUAAGCACGAAACUUGCCCCGAGAUGAGUUCUCCCUGACUCCUUGAGAGUCCUGAAGGAACGUUGAAGACGACGACGUUGAUAGGCCGGGUGUGUAAGCGCAGCGAUGCGUUGAGCUAACCGGUACUAAUGAACCGUGAGGCUUAACCUU